RNAcentral lists this transfer RNA (83 nucleotides) under Bdellovibrionales bacterium. RNAcentral describes it as "tRNA-Arg". It matches the Rfam family "tRNA". From Rfam's summary of the family: Transfer RNA (tRNA) molecules are approximately 80 nucleotides in length. Their secondary structure includes four short double-helical elements and three loops (D, anti-codon, and T loops). Further hydrogen bonds mediate the characteristic L-shaped molecular structure. tRNAs have two regions of fundamental functional importance: the anti-codon, which is responsible for specific mRNA codon recognition, and the 3' end, to which the tRNAs corresponding amino acid is attached (by aminoacyl-tRNA synthetases). tRNAs cope with the degeneracy of the genetic code in two manners: having more than one tRNA (with a specific anti-codon) for a particular amino acid; and 'wobble' base-pairing, i.e. permitting non-standard base-pairing at the 3rd anti-codon position. Lineage: Bacteria; Pseudomonadati; Bdellovibrionota; Bdellovibrionia; Bdellovibrionales. The record is from RNAcentral.
GCCUCCGUAGCUCAGUAGGAUAGAGCACUUUCACAGGUUUCCUAAACCUGGGGUCGCAGGUUCGAACCCUGCCGGGGGCGCCA